RNAcentral lists this ribosomal RNA (253 nucleotides) under uncultured bacterium. RNAcentral describes it as "partial 16S ribosomal RNA". It matches the Rfam family "Bacterial small subunit ribosomal RNA", at positions 524 to 776 of the family's 1533-position model. The record is from RNAcentral.
UACGGAGGGUGCGAGCGUUGUCCGGAAUCACUGGGCGUAAAGGGCGCGUAGGCGGCUUCGCUAGUCGGGCGUGAAAUGCCUGGGCUUAACCCGGGAAUUGCGUUCGAUACUUCGAGGCUAGAGUGUGGGAGAGGUUGGUGGAAUUCCCAGUGUAGAGGUGAAAUUCGUAGAUAUCAGGAGGAACACCGGUGGCGAAGGCGGCUACCUGGACAGAAACUGACGCUGAGGCGCGAAAGCUAGGGGAGCAAACAGG